Myotis davidii is the source of this 451-nucleotide long non-coding RNA. RefSeq lists it as uncharacterized. NCBI's taxonomy places the organism in Eukaryota, Metazoa, Chordata, Mammalia, Chiroptera, Vespertilionidae. The record is from RefSeq and is a predicted model, not a curated record. The transcript is spliced from 2 exons.
UCCCCAGUAGGGGGUGGGCAGGAGGCAAUUGAAUGACUAUCAUUGAUGUUUCUCUCUGAAAUCAAAAUACAUUUCUUAGGUAGGCCUUGACAGUACUAGCUGAGACAUUUGAGGGGUGUGAAAAGGCUAAAAUUUCUCUAGUUCCAUGAGGGAAGUAGCCCCUAUAAGUUUUUUGUAAUUUGCUUAUUUGUACAGGUGAGGAAAAAUUGGCCAACUUAGCGGUAGCUGAUACACAAAUUUGUCACAGCUGUAGGAUUUACUAGACUAAGAUUGUUCAGCCGCUCUGUCCCGUUCCCCCCCCCCCCACAAUAGUGGUGUUUAACUUCAGAGAACACUAUUAGAAAGGGUAGGAAGGAGGGUGACCAGAAACCGGGUAUCUGUAGGCUUGCCAAGACAACUGCCUGGUUUUGAGCACCACCUACUGGUCACUACAAACUAGUUUUACAUUCAU